CACAACCAAUUUACUAAAUCAAUAAAAAUUCCCCCAGCCCUGGAGAGGGGGAAUGACCAGACAGAAUGUCAUGAAGCCAAUGGUUCUUAAAUAUAUGUGCUGAAACUCGGCCCAGUCUUUGGAAGCCUCUCUACAACCUCUGACUCCUCCCAUGUUUCUGAAAGAUUCUGGUCCCAGCCCCAGGAAUCGCCGGCUGGCCGGGAAACACUCUCCCCAUCUGCAUUGCAUGUUAUUGUUUGAGCGGUAAUAAAUAGACCCUCUCUUGACACAACUGCAUUUGUCCUACAGCAGUCCAAAUCCUCGCCCAGGGAAGUAAUUUUUCCACAAAAUCUAAAAUCCUUUUUCACUCAGCAAUUUAUGCCCUCUCCUGAUUCACAGGUGUGAUUUUAUUUGCUUAGGCAUUUUUAUGGCUGCCAGGCCUUGACCUUUUUCAAAUGAUAAGGUUUCUAACUGCCCACUUCUCUCCCCAAAUCAUGCCCGAGACCUAAUGUUCCUUGAUAUUACACGCUGUUAUUAUCAUCCCUUAUUGAUUGGCUGUCUGUUGUCAUCCCCAAGCCCAUAAAUCCUCCUUUAUAAAUUAAGCGUAGUCAGUUCCGCCUGCACAGUGGCUAGAAGAAAUAUUAAAAUGCAGGACAGCUCAGAAGAACCUGUCCAUCUGCAAGUGAUUCUUGAUCGUUCAUUGGAAGAAGAAAAUAGCCGAAAAC
RNAcentral lists this long non-coding RNA (704 nucleotides) under Marmota monax (woodchuck). The record is from RNAcentral. Lineage: Eukaryota; Metazoa; Chordata; Mammalia; Rodentia; Sciuridae.